This 21-nucleotide non-coding RNA is filed under the name Arabidopsis thaliana (thale cress). Lineage: Eukaryota; Viridiplantae; Streptophyta; Magnoliopsida; Brassicales; Brassicaceae. The record is from RNAcentral.
CACGGCCAACAAGUGUGACUG